CUCUUCCUUCUUCUUUCUGCUUUUCUUUCUUUCUUUCCUUCUUCUUCUUCUUCUUCUUAUGUAGUUGCCUGAUGAAUCUUCUUUUUUCCUUUAAGACCAGAGAAAAAAGAGAAGCAAAUCUAAUUUAAAGAAAGCUGAAGGAACUUGUUCGACAAGAGAGAUUAUUUGUCCUUCGUAUUGUGUGUGUGUAUAUAUAUAUAUAUAUAUAUAUAAUUGGACAAGGGCAAACUCUGUAUAUAUACAGGAAGAACAGAGAGUAGAGAAGAAGACUAAAGACAUGGAGAGUAGAGGAGGGUGCAAGCAAGGAAGAGAAGAGGAAGAGAAAAAAAAAAAAAAAAAAGGGAGGGAAAAAGGUCAGAAGAAGGUUGAAAAAGAAGUAAAAAGAGAGAAUUGUUUUGGAAUUUAGGUUUGGUAAGUGAUCAUUGUAAUGAUGAUGAUGAUGUCUGCAUUUUGCCUUUUUUUCUUGUUUAUUAUUAUUUGUAAUGGUUAUGCUUCUUCCUUUUUUCCUAAUUUAACUAUUAAACAGAAAAUAAUAAAUUUGUUCUCCUAUGCUUAAGAAUAAUUAACAUUCCUAUUGUGAUUUUAAAAUAUUAUUUAUAAAAUUCAAAAUUUAUUUACUGUAAGCUUGUGAAGAUAAAU
Molecule: long non-coding RNA, 639 nt
Filed under: Ricinus communis (castor bean)
Lineage: Eukaryota; Viridiplantae; Streptophyta; Magnoliopsida; Malpighiales; Euphorbiaceae
Description: long non-coding RNA (RCOM_LNC003524)
Source: RNAcentral